This 536-nucleotide long non-coding RNA is filed under the name Parus major (Great Tit). Its description in RNAcentral is "lncRNA (ENSPMJG00000002016.1)". Lineage: Eukaryota; Metazoa; Chordata; Aves; Passeriformes; Paridae. The record is from RNAcentral.
ACUGUUCCCGUGUCACUGUCCCCGUGUCCGGGUGUCACAGCCGUGUCCGGGUGUCACUGUCCCCGUGUCCCCCAGCAGGGCCACCCUGGGGCCACCAAACUCCUGUGGCGCCAUUUGGAGGGGUGACUUUGACCUGUGACGUCACCCCGAUGAUGUCAUCACUCCGUAAUGUCACCCCAAUGACAUCACUGCCCAAUGACAUCAUCCAAUGACAUCACAACCCCAAUGACAUCACCAUCCCAUGACAUCACCCUGAUGACAUCACCGCCCAAUGACAUCACCGCUCCAUGACGUCACCCUGAUGACAUCACAACCCAAUGACAUGAUCCAAUGACAUCACAACCUCAAUGAUAUCACCGUCCCAUGACGUCACCCUGAUGACAUCACCACACCAAUGACAUCAUCGCCCCAUGACAUCACCCCGAUGACAUCACCGCCCAAUGAUAUCACAGCCCAAUGACAUCACCCCAAUGACGUCACCCUAAUGACAUCACUUCCCAAUGACAUCACGCCCCCAUGACGUCACCCCAACGCCC